CUACGGGUCGCAGCAGUGGGGAAUCUUGGACAAUGGGGGCAACCCUGAUCCAGCCAUGCCGCGUGGGUGAAGAAGGCUCGCGGGUUGUAAAGCCCUUUCAGCAGGGAAGAAAAGCCUCGGGAUAAUACCCCGGGGUCUUGACGUAACCUGCAGAAGAAGCACCGGCUAACUCCGUGCCAGCAGCCGCGGUAAUACGGAGGGUGCGAGCGUUAAUCGGAAUUACUGGGCGUAAAGCGCGCGUAGGUGGCCUGUUAAGUCGGAUGUGAAAGCCCCGGGCUUAACCUGGGAACUGCAUUCGAUACUGGCAGGCUCGAGUGUGGUAGAGGGAAGCGGAAUUCCCGGUGUAGCGGUGAAAUGCGUAGAUAUCGGGAGGAACAUCAGUGGCGAAGGCGGCUUCCUGGACCAACACUGACACUGAGGUGCGAAAGCGUGGGUAGCAAACAGGAUUAGAUACCCCUGUAGUC
This 464-nucleotide ribosomal RNA is filed under the name uncultured bacterium. Its description in RNAcentral is "partial 16S ribosomal RNA". It matches the Rfam family "Bacterial small subunit ribosomal RNA", at positions 339 to 795 of the family's 1533-position model. The record is from RNAcentral.